Molecule: ribosomal RNA, 507 nt
Filed under: uncultured Glomus
Lineage: Eukaryota; Fungi; Glomeromycota; Glomeromycetes; Glomerales; Glomeraceae
Description: SSU rRNA
Rfam family: Eukaryotic small subunit ribosomal RNA
Source: RNAcentral
AGCAGCCGCGGUAAUUCCAGCUCCAAUAGCGUAUAUUAAAGUUGUUGCAGUUAAAAAGCUCGUAGUUGAAUUUCGGGGUCAGCAAGUUGGUCGUGCCACCGGUAUGCACUGGCUUUGCUGAUUCCUCCUUCUUGUAGAACCGUAAUGCCAUUAAGUUGGUGUUGCGGGAAAACAGGACUGUUACUUUGAAAAAAUUGGAGUGUUUAAAGCAGGCUAACGCUUGAAUACAUUAGCAUGGAAUAAUGAAAUAGGACGACGAUCCUAUUUUGUUGGUUUCUAGGAUUGACGUAAUGAUUAAUAGGGAUAGUUGGGGGCAUUAGUAUUCAAUUGUCAGAGGUGAAAUUCUUGGAUUUAUUGAAGACUGACUACUGCGAAAGCAUUUGCCAAGGAUGUUUUCAUUAAUCAAGAACGAAAGUUAGGGGAUCGAAGACGAUCAGAUACCGUCGUAGUCUUAACCAUAAACUAUGCCGACUAGGGAUCGGAUGAUGUUAAUUUUAUAAUGACUCA